CUCACACCCACCUAGAGGAGCCUGUUCUUGAAUCGAUAAUCCCCGUUCAACCUCACCACCCCUUGUUAGACCCGCCUAUAUACCGCCGUCGUCAGCUCACCCUGUGAAGGACUUAAAGUGAGCAAAAUGGGCAAAACCCAGAACGUCAGGUCAAGGUGCAGCGUAUGGGGUGGGAAGAAAUGGGCUACAUUACCUAUUGCAGGUUACUACGAAUGGGGCCGUGAAACCGGCCCCUGAAGGUGGAUUUAGCAGUAAGGGGGAAAUAGAGAGUUCUCCUGAAGCCGGCUCUGAGGCGCGC
Molecule: ribosomal RNA, 298 nt
Filed under: Osmerus mordax (rainbow smelt)
Lineage: Eukaryota; Metazoa; Chordata; Actinopteri; Osmeriformes; Osmeridae
Description: partial small subunit ribosomal RNA
Source: RNAcentral